CCCUUAGAUGUUCUGGGCCGCACGCGCGCUACACUGACGGAGCCAACGAGUACUUUCCUUGUCCGGAAGGACUGGGUAAUCUUGUGAAACUUCGUCGUGCUGGGGAUAGAGCAUUGCAAUUAUUGCUCUUCAACGAGGAAUUCCUAGUAAGCAUGUGUCAUCAGCCCGUGCUGAUUACGUCCCUGCCCUUUGUACACACCGCCCGUCGCUACUACCGAUUGAACGGUUUAGUGAGGGCCUCGGAUUGGUCUCGGCCCGCUCUUUACCGGGCGGCGCCGUUGGUCGAGAAGACGCUCGAACUUGAUCGUUUAGAGGAAGUAAAAGUCGUAACA
RNAcentral lists this ribosomal RNA (332 nucleotides) under uncultured eukaryote. RNAcentral's name for it is "partial 18S ribosomal RNA". It matches the Rfam family "Eukaryotic small subunit ribosomal RNA", at positions 1470 to 1796 of the family's 1831-position model. The record is from RNAcentral.